GGACUUCAGCAUAUGGAUUUUGGGGGAAAACAAUUCAAUCCAUAACUGAUUCAGUCCGUAGCUGGUUGAGAACCAUUGAACCAGAUCAAUUACCUCCUGUAGGGUGAUGGACACCACACUUUAAACAUUCUAACUCCCCAGUGUCCAGCCUGGUGGCGUUGGGGCCAGAGCCAUGUGGUGAACGCACGCUGGUGGAGGAGAUUACUGAGAGCCUGCUGAAGGAUGGGCAAGUCCACUCCAAAUUCCAGAUCGGUGCAGUUUCAGUCUCUUCCUCCAUAACUCCAAUGGUGUUGCGUAUUCCCUUUUUGUCCAGCGGCCAGGCUGGGUGAGGGACAGCAGCAGAAGGAAACGAGAAGCCGAAGCAGUCCACACCUUGGAGAAUCACCUCUGUCUUGGAUGCUGAUGCAAACAGCUGCAUUCAAGGUUUGCAUAUGCUUAGCUGCAUGGGCGGGUGACAUGCUAAUAGAACAGCCAUGGGGCUGCCAUUGGGCGCCCGUUCUAAUCUCUGGCAAGACUUUUAAGUGAGGCUGUGCUACUCUUCGAAUGAUGCUCUAUUAUCCUUGUAGAAACACCGUGCUAUACGGAAUAGUGAAUUAUGGGAAAGUUGCCUGUAUAUAGAAUGGUAAGCAUUCACUUAUGGAAUAUGUAUUGAGCAUAUAUUGUCUAUAUCUUUCUAUUAAAAGCGAACACAGAGCAGAUCUGUUAUAAAGUAAAACAUUUGUUUCCUGGACCAUCAUCUUCCUUACCAUCCUGAGUGGACUUAAAAUACAGUAGGUCAAACUCAAAGGCACUAAGAAUUCCAGUGGUUUCUUGGAGUUCCCGUAGAAAUACUGUGAUCGCUUUACACAUGAGUUCCACAGGAGACUCAAGAUAGUACACAGGAGGUUAAGGGCAUUCAUAGUGGUCAAGCCGAGUUACAUGAUGAGUCCUUAACUGUGACUCUAGGUGUUGAUCAUAGGGACAGUCACGGCCACACAUGCGCCACAGGGAGGCCAGCUUCCUUAGCUGUGUGCAGACAUGGGGCUUAACAAUUGGGGGCUCCCAGAACAGGAGGUCCCAGCUUCACCAGCACUUGGGUUUGUAAAUGGCCACGCUAAUUUUACUUUGUCUGUUGAGGAGCCUCUGGCAUGGUUGACAUGGAGCCAUCAGGAGAAACUUGGCACUUUCAGGAUAUGGGGGGUGUGGGAAGGAGAGACUCUGUGUGAUCAGGGACAGCUUAGAAGAGAUGACUUCAGGGAACCUGGCCUCAAAGAAGCUGUUUCUACGGUCCGUGUGUUUUCAUCAGGCCUUAGGUUCCUGCCUGAAACUCUAUUAGGUGGAUGGAGAUUCAUUUGGGUUAACAAAAUUUGUUCUUAAACCAAUGCACAUGCCUGCACAGGUGACUUCAGGAGACAGUUGAGGGCCCAGAUCCCUUCAUUUGAUAAAGGAGGCAAUGACCAGGGAGGCACAGUGCCCCGUCUGCUGUCAUCUAGCUCAGUGCGGUAGGGCCAGGCCGAUGGCAAGCCAUUGCCUUUGUUCCCUGUUGCUUUCUCCCUGGAAGGGUUCCCAGCCAGGGGACUUGACUCCUCACCUGCACUGAGCAGACAGGGCCCUGGGCUUGGGCACAGGGGGGCAGAGAUUAGUAUGGGCUGAGAAUGGAGGGGUGGGAUGGCCCAUCUGUCCCCAGCCCCUCAGGAUAGGGUGCUUUCUAGUGGGCUUUGGAGUCAGAGGUCAGGAUCUGGCACCCACAGAGAGAGGGGCACAGAGAUGGCGAGGGGAGAACACUGACUGAAGACAGAUGCCAGCCCUUCUGCAGUCCCCCGAUGCCCACUUUGUCUGGAGAGGAGGAGGGCACUCCCUCUCUUGCUCUCCUUCCUCCUGGAACUGGGCCCUGUUCUGAGACUGUUAUUAGUGUGGGAGACCAGCAGCUCCAGGGACCAAGUCAAAUUCUGUGGGCUAGCCUGGGAUCUACAGGACAGCUAACACAUUGCUUCUGAGGGACAAAUGCAUUUUGCACUGGAGUUGUUGAACUUCCUAGUAAUUUUUUGGACCACAGCUUGCAGGUAGGUUGUGGCCAGCGGGAGAAAAGGACAUCACCAUUUCCACAGAGGUGAUUGCCUAGUCAUAUCCACAGGGGAAUUAGCAUCUCUCUCAAUUGGCCUAUCCCACCCAAAGUGCUAGAAACAGGUCGUACUCAAAAGUAACUUAGUUAACUGUCAGGCUUUUAAAAAAAGGGGCUGCUGGUGUUUAGGAAGCUGAAGAAUAUCCUCCUUGACUGAGAUUUCACCU
Molecule: long non-coding RNA, 2268 nt
Filed under: Homo sapiens (human)
Lineage: Eukaryota; Metazoa; Chordata; Mammalia; Primates; Hominidae
Description: non-protein coding lnc-KIDINS220-12:2
Source: RNAcentral